RNAcentral lists this ribosomal RNA (580 nucleotides) under uncultured bacterium. Its description in RNAcentral is "partial 16S ribosomal RNA". It matches the Rfam family "Bacterial small subunit ribosomal RNA", at positions 355 to 932 of the family's 1533-position model. The record is from RNAcentral.
UGGGGAAUUUUGGACAAUGGGCGAAAGCCUGAUCCAGCAAUGCCGCGUGUGUGAAGAAGGCCUUCGGGUUGUAAAGCACUUUUGUCCGGAAAGAAAUCCUUGGCUCUAAUACAGUCGGGGGAUGACGGUACCGGAAGAAUAAGCACCGGCUAACUACGUGCCAGCAGCCGCGGUAAUACGUAGGGUGCAAGCGUUAAUCGGAAUUACUGGGCGUAAAGCGUGCGCAGGCGGUUUGCUAAGACCGAUGUGAAAUCCCCGGGCUCAACCUGGGAACUGCAUUGGUGACUGGCAGGCUAGAGUAUGGCAGAGGGGGGUAGAAUUCCACGUGUAGCAGUGAAAUGCGUAGAGAUGUGGAGGAAUACCGAUGGCGAAGGCAGCCCCCUGGGCCAAUACUGACGCUCAUGCACGAAAGUGUGGGGAGCAAAACAGGAUUAGAUACCCUGGUAGUCCACGCCCUAAACGAUGUCAACUAGUUGUUGGGGAUUCAUUUCCUUAGUAACGUAGCUAACGCGUGAAGUUGACCGCCUGGGGAGUACGGUCGCAAGAUUAAAACUUAAAGGAAUUGACGGGGUCAUAGCUG